CCUUCCCCUUUUCAAGAUGCAAUAACAGCCGUCCGAUUAUGCCACCCACUCAUUUCCAGCCGUUGGAUCAUCAACCGCCUAAAAUAAAUACACAUCAAUUCAUUGCAUUUCAUCUUUGCAUCUAUUCAUUUCAAUAGCCGCCUCGAUCUACAGGUGUCGAUCCUCUUUCCUCAACCAGAUUAUUUUCUACUCUUUUUUCCGUCAGAUUCAUUCAGAUCUGCGUUGUGGUUAUGGUUUAUACGAGUUUUGUUCGCCGCUGGUUUUUCUGUUUGAAAUAUCGGUCGCCUGGUUUAUGCACUAGCUGCAGAUGUGAAACGUAGCCUCUUAUGCGGCGGUGAAACGCCGAGGUUUUGCUAGAUCUGCAACCGUGUUUGAUGGAUCGUUGAAGAUUCGUUUUUCCGGGAUUGAUUGGAAACAUCAAUUUUCUGGAUCUGAAAAUACAAAGGCAUCUUCAGAAGGCAUCGAUUCGUUUGACGAUGGUCACUAUCGGUGUGGAGUCAUCUCGAGUUUAUCUGUAUGGCUCUGUUGCAGCAGCUGAGUUAUUCAAGGGAGGUGAAUUGUUUUGUGUUGUGUUAUUUCAUAUGUUCUUGUUGUCUGUAGACUCGGCGAACUGUUGAGGUAUCAGACUGUAAAAAAAAAGGAAAAUGAGUGAGCGAAGUCAGGUGAUAUGUGAAAAGUGAGGUGAGAUGUGGUUGUCUGCAUGACCUUUGCCAUGAUGGGUGCGCUCGCAUGGCAGGUCGCCCGUUAAUAAAAGUUCAUUUUUUGGUUUUGAGGGGAGAUGGUACGGGAUUUUGCCCGGCUCUCCCCUGUGUGUGUGGUGUCCUCUCGUCUCUCCGUCCCCCCUCUCUGCCCUCUUUUCUUUUCUUUAUUUUUUACCCAUACGAAGCUCAAAUCCAAUCACGCCAAAAAAAUUGUUUUGGUCUUGAGUUGGUUGCAUACCAUAUAAUAAAACAUACAACCAAUUCAAGACCAAAUCAUGUCACAUAUUUGAAAGCGAUCAAGCAAUUUUGAGGGUUAAGUUUUCUUCUCAACAUCCACUUAUCAGCAUCCACCACAACAGAGGUACCAAUAUGCACUUUCUCAGUAUCUGAUUAUCUUGUUCACUUGCAUAUCUUUAACAUUCUCAAUUCUUUUAUUAGUACUAAUACUUUUCUGGUAACUAGGAACAUUUUAGUGGCUUUGUUUACUAGUUCAAAUUAUCAUACAGUUAUUGCCGAUUACUGAAAUGGCGCUUUCGUUUAUACUGUUUUCACUUACUCCCAUAAUAACAAUACACUGUUGUUCUAAUCACUGGAUUUAGCUAUAUCAAUUUGGAAAUCUUUUUUAUUCAACUUUGGAUUGACUGUAAAUAGUGAAUAACUGGAUAACAUAUAGUAGUAAUACAUAACUCAUAACUUCAUUUUGCGUUCUCAAUUUUUAAUUUCCCAACUUUACUAGUGUCAAUCUGGAAACGCCAAUCUUAACUUAAAACUGGGAACAUUUAUAUUAACUAGCAUUUGAGAAGAGCUGCGAAGGUAUAUAAUCAUGGAGACAACAUCAAUCGAUAACUGACUAUGCCCUUUUUGUGUUUUAGAUUCAUUAGUUGUUUUGCACUUAAUUCUUAUUGUGGUUGGUGAAGCACAUGCCAUCUCUCUCUUUUUCUUUGAGGCGCCUCUGUUGAGGGUUGUAGCUGUUGCUUUAGAUUAUUGUAUUGUAGUUUAUAAUUAUCAACCAUCUGGAUGGUUGUAGCUAUUACUCUUGUCUGUGUUGUCUAUAUAGUAUAAAGCUGUAGCAUGGUUGUAAUAGAUCAGCUAUACAGUAGAUGGUUGGUUUCUUAUUGGAUUCGGAGGAGUCCCUGCAAGCAGAGUAUUUUUUCCUUUUAUUGAGUGGAGGCUGACUGAAUUUCCUUGGAGGCUGUCUCUGUCCUCUUGGAGGCCGACUGUGUUUGAUGUUCUGCUGCUGCCGCUGCCCGUGAUCAAAUUUUGCUGCUUGACAAGUGAAUGUUCGCAAGGAUAAUAGUCCACUUUGGUGCUGUGAUGCCGAUGUGCGUUUUUUCCUAUGAGCAUGUACUUCAUUCGUCUCUCCAAAUGUAGUCACUGAAGAUAAUUGUCAAGUAAGCUGCAAUUAACUUCAGCUGUUCUCUUUAUGUUCUUGCAAAGUACUCUAUGCUAAGCAGGGUAACGUAGGUUGUUAGAUUUUACUUGGGCUCACUGUUACUCAGUUAAUCUAGAUAUUAUAACUUCUGUUGUUUGUUCUCUCUAUAUUUUGAUUGAUUCCUUUGUGGUA
This is a non-coding RNA of Salvia hispanica, 2265 nucleotides long. The record is from RefSeq and is a predicted model, not a curated record. Lineage: Eukaryota; Viridiplantae; Streptophyta; Magnoliopsida; Lamiales; Lamiaceae.